GCCGGCGGAGCCAGGGCCCGGCCCGCACCUGCGGAGCGCGGCGGAGCCCCCGCCCCGGGGCGGGAGGCGGCGGCGGGGGGACCCGUGCACUGGAGGUGUCGGUGCGAGUAUUUAGGGUGGUGAGAGCCUGGCCCAGGUUGGCCAGAGAGGUGGUGGAUGAACCAUCCCUGGAGGCAUCCCAGGCUGGACGGGGCUCUGAGCAACCUGAGCUGGUGAAGAUGUCCCUGCUCAUGGCAGGGGUUGGACUAGAUGAUCUUUAAAGGUCCCUUCAACCCAAACCAUUCUGUGAUUUCUUUUGGGACGAGGCAUUUGGCAGAACACAAGCUCAGCAAAAUACUGCCCGGCUGAAUGCGGCCUUGGGUCCUCUGCACUAUUCAAAGACACAUCUGCUUGGCUUCACUUGGGAAGUGGCCUUUAGAAGCAAUCGGCUCCAACAAUAACAUUUUCCAUCCCUCCCAGCUGAACUGCGCGCAGCACGUAGGCUUCUUCUGCGAGCCAGCGUAAUUAGCGAACGAGGAAACUCUGUGACAGCUAGAAGGAAGAUUUAGAACUCAGUGCAAAAUAGAGCCUAAACAUUAAUCUUGACAUUAUGUAAGCAGGCAACGCCGAUGUCAUCAGGAAUGAAUCUGAGGCUAAAUUUCAUGCACGCAUGCUGCUGGGGAUGGCGAGUGGGAGAAAAGGGCAUGUGUGCCCUGACAGGCACAGGAGGCUUUAGCUGUGUGACCCGGCAGCGCUUCAGAUGUCCUGCCCCUCUGCACGGCCCAAGACACCAAAUAAAUGUUGAGGAGGACAAUCAGUAUCUCAUGUAAUAAAGGGGAAAGGAUGUAAGUAAGCAGAAGCAGCAGGAGAAAAUUUAACAAGGGAGCAGCUGCUGCCAGUGUAGUGAGGACUGAUCUCAACAAAAGUGGCUUCAUACGCAGUGUGUAUAAAAUUAGGCAGGAGCGACCGCUAUGAGGAGGAUACAAGCAGGAAAGGGGACUUGGUGAUAUGAAGGGGCUUUUGCGUCAGGCUUCCAUCCCACUCAGUGUUUGCUUUUCUUAUCACAAAUCACGGAUAGCAAUAAAACACUUGCAAAGUCCUUUUCCAGAACUUUGGGAAUCAAGUUCGAAAAGGUUUUCUUAUGGUUUCCCAGCUGAAUAUUUCAGUAAGAAAGACUGCAGCGAGAUUGAUUCCGCUCCCGUGGCAGCCUCAUGCAGUGCAGGCUUGGGCUCCAAGAACCGCAUGAAGGUUGCUUUCUGUCUGCUUCUGCAGCUCGGUCCAAACCCAGCGGUUUUUACCUCUCAUCCUGUGCUUUCCAACAGAUGAGUUGGCUGUGGUGCGUUACCAGCAUGCGUGGAAGCCAGAGCAUAAACCUGUUUUCCACAGAUAGUAUUUUCAGCAACGUUUAAAUGUAAAGGCUGGCCAGACGUCCCUGCGCUGGUGACAGCGUAAAAAACCUUUGUCAGAAGGGAAGAAGACGGAAAUCGCUAUAAAGCUUUGAAGAGCUGUGCUUGAGUCAUUGUGGACAGAAAACUCUUUCAGUUAAAUUCUGCACUGAUUUGUGUUUUUGUCUCGGAUGUCAGCACCUUUGCUCCCCACUGACAAGGAGCCUUCCUUAUGGAGACGGAAAGUGGAAAAAAGCUAACGAUCCCCGUGAUCCUUCUCAAAUUAGACUGGGGUCCAAGUAAUUAAACCAUUUAGAUGUUACAGUGCUAAGCACUGGGGAUAGACACUAUUUCCUUCCCUUCCAGUGCACAGGAUUUGGUUGCAUUCUGUGCAGCCUAACGCUUCGCUAGCUGCUCCAGUUUGUUGUUAUUCAAGUCAUACGCACCACGGUUGCUAGUAAUUUCAGAAGCAUCCUUUUCGCGAUGACCUACAACUCUGCGCUGUUCUGAGCACCUGAGUAAUCCCAGUUAUUUGUGGUUUUGUCCUUCUGCUUCUCUCACCAGGUAAGGGACUCAGCCAGGGACAGGCACAGAGGCGGAAUGUCCCAGUCGCGGGCUGAUGUCCCAGCUGCGCUGGGUACCACGUACUCGCAGGGGCAUCUUGGCUCUGCUGAAGGUCUCUAACAGAAGAAAACUUCUGGUUUCAGAAGCCACGCUCCAGUUUCAGGGGAAAAUCCUGAAAUUCACAGAAUCUAAAUAACAGCCAGCAGAAUUUUAACCAAUAUUUCAUAGCCAGGGAACAAGCACAUCUCUGUAAUACGAGCGGUGUGUUCUAGGUCAAGGAGUAUCUGAAUUAAGGAGACGUGAUACUCUAAACAAGUGAAGCAUCACUGUGCAGACAGGGUUGUAAUGAGGAGCGUAGUAUUUACUACAUUUGGCAUACAAUGGGGUUUGCACCAAACCUAAAAAUCCUCCUUUUAUUUCACCGGUUAUUUGCUGCUGCCUCCCUCCCCACCUUGGGAGAGCGCACGACUGCCGAGCCCCAGUCUGGGUGCGAUGGAAACAGUCGACGGAUAAAAUAAAUAGACCAUGAAAUACAUAUAUAUUUCAGCCUGACAGUUCACUCCCCCGAUACACCCCAUAAAAACCCAGGGUAAAACGCUGCAAGCUUGUUCAGUAGCACAAGCCCCACAACAAAUACAACGGCCUCUCCCAGUAAGUACCUCAAAAAAGAGAAUGCCUAAAUGCAGUUUGCUUGGCAAUAGCAGGUACCAGGAGUCGGGUAUGGGAUGUCUGAGCUGCAUCAAACACAAACGUUGGUGGAGAUGCUGCUUUUUAGGGUUGAUGUGCUAAAAGCCAUCGUCCAUCUUUACCAGUUGCAAGCAGUUCAUGUGUAAUAUCACUGGAGUUGCAUAGACUACCACUGAAAACACCUGACUGAGAAGAUGAGAUCUCGCUUGCAUCCGAUCUUGAGGUCGAAUUGCUUCGGGAGAAAGGGAGAGACAUCAUUUCCAGGCUCGGGAGCACACUGGCUAACACCUCCCUUCCCCUUCCAGGCAUCUCCUGGACUUUGGCAUCGGGCUGACAACACCAGGUGCAAAGCUCACUGGCACCGAGAGAAUUUCAUCCCUUGGCUUGUUGUGGAUCAACACGGGAACAGAAACCCUUUCCGUUCUGCCUACGUCUUAUGCAAAACUACACCCAGAUCCAGAAAGGUAACGCCGGCUCCGCAGCGUCAUCCAGCCUGAACGCGGCACCGCGGGAAAAGUCUGUGGGCUCAACUGCUGUUGAGAUCCAUGGAAGAUGUUAGUUUUACUACCCACAAACCUCACAUUUGAGAGUGAAAUCACAUACAGAGUCUUUGGAUAGCAAAAUAGGAGUGGAACGUAUUUCGAAGGCUGGUUUUAUUCUCCUGUUGCAGCUGAAACCAGGAGUAACCAUUGUGUAGAGAUGAUGGUACCAGCCUCCAGGAAGCACUCCCCAAACCACAAGCCAAGACUCACUCCUCCCAACUCACUGCUUAUUCAUCUGCCUCUUACUUUUUAAGAGGUUUUCCACUGAAAAGCAUCAACAUUUAGAGAUCACAGCUCCAGGAAGAACCACUAGCAAGGUGAACUGCCCAAAUCAAGUACCUUCUUUGACAUUUUCAUUUCCAAAUCCUACUCACCAGUAAAGAGCUGUUGCUUAAGUUGGUCUCAGACCUGUUACCUGGACUUCAUUAUUUAAAACAUACCAGGUUUUAAUAUAAUAAAAUACCAUAUAUAUAUAAAAAAUAGUGAAUUACUAUCAUUGCUUCAAAAUGCCUUGCUAAAAACAUUAAUUGAAAGUGGUUGAUCAUACAAUUGCAUGAUACACUUACACGAUUUCUGAUGCUGAAAUUUAUCUGUAAUCAUUUUAGGAAGCUUAUUUUUAGCUUUACAACUGAUAUAAACAUAUUGCCUAGCGAACAAAAUAAUAAUAAUCAAUCAUACAAAGAGGAGGAAACAAUAUUUGCCCUGAACCUUACAAGGAGUGUCAAUAGUUAAAUUCCUCCUAGUUGAUUAAAAGAAAAUCCAUUACAGCCAUAAAUUUAUUUUCAUUCCAUGAUUAAAUACAUAUCAUGCCUCCAUUAGCAAAAAUUACAGAUGGGAAUAAAACAGAUGCCCUAAACACAUCCUGCCUGCAUACUUGCCAAUUAAAAUUUGCUUGUAUUAACUCCACCUGAUGCCAAAUUUCCUACAAAAAUGUCGUAGUCUUUUUAUUGAGGUUGUUAUCAGUGGUGUGCUUUGAAUUCUUUGUACUACUCCAUCAAAAAACCAUCCUGGCUGAAUUACCACUCACAUUUCACUGCUGGAAGCCAAUUGUACUGUUACCCAAAUUAUAACAAGACCGUGCUUUUGACACUUGAGUUAGGAACCCAAGCCUGACUUAAUAUGCAAAGAGCUGUUCACUGGAACUAAACUUUCUUACCACUCUGAAAGACCAUUCUGCCAAUGGAACCGGUACAUCCCCCCCAAAAAAGGGAAGAAUUUAGGAUUCCUACCUUGAAGACAUCACCAGAUGGAUCACAGAGGGAGGACUCGCCACUGUGCAAAUAAUGUCUUAUUUCCUGUCCUGGGAAAGGACCAGAAGUAUUUCUCAACCCUUAAUAAUCUCCUGAACCCUGGGAACAAGGAGAAGCCAGGAAACUAGAAGGAAUUCUCUAAUAAGCAAACAUGACCUUACCUGUGAAACAAAACCUGAUUGCCUAAUAGGGCCUCCUCAAUGUAUGAAAGAACAAGUUUAUUGUCACCUGCCAAUGUGUUUGUCAAGGCAUAAAGAGACUUCAUUUCCCUAUCUUUCAAGCAAUAGUAGUAUUCUGAAAAUACAAAAUAACAGAAUAAAUGAAGGCAAAGAAAUUAAGAAAAAGGAUCGUACACAGAAGUUUAAACAAAAAAGAAAAUUAAAAGGAAUAAGGAAUGAAUAGUUAUGCUUUGAAUUCUUUUGGAUUUAUGCAGCUAAAAUCUGUCCUGAGAAAUUCACUGGAAAACACACAGUCAUUGCUGGCUCGUAAGACAUUACUAUAUAGCAAAUUAAUAAUGAAGGAGGCAUAUGUCACAUGCUAGUGAGACUGUAACAUCACAUCUUUAUGUAUUUAUGAGAUCAGUGAAAAUAACUGACAAAGCAUGCACACAUUCAGGCAAGUGAGAUUUUUAAAAGCAUUCCCUCUGUGGGAAAAGAGUUGAGCUAUUUCGGUGGAGACAGAACUCUAUGAGGCUGAGAACCUCUGAAAAUCUGAAUUUCAAGCACAAACUGGUCCUCUUUUUGCAAUGCUACAGCUUUUACGGCUCCUUAACACUUACAUUGAUGUACCUAAGAAAAAAACAGAAGAUGCAGCAUUCCCACUGCAAAAGCUUGUUCCUUAUUACACCGCACAACAGAGAAGUGAGACUUCUGCUUUGUAGAAAAGCUUUACCUCUAUCAGUCACAGAUCACCAAUUCAGAAAUUAAAUCUUUCCAUUCCAAAUGCAAACAUCAUUCAGUUAUAUUAGGUUCAUAGUCAGAAUGCCUUAUUUCUUUCUCACUUAGAAACUCGCAGCUUCCCUAGAACAAGUGAGGUUGUAGCGAGGACAAAAUUUACAGGCACGCUGUGCAAAGCUGAAAUGUUUCUAGGGCAAUGUUUUAUAGUCCCUUCGAGUUCCAUACAAAGUAUUUGACUGUGUACUCAAAGAGCAUUUAUUUACACACGUGUCUGAGGUUUUCUAUCAGGUUUAAAGUUCAGACUUUUCUCAACUAAUCUAAUUUGUCCAAGAUGGAUGGCCUCACUUUUUUCCUUUGGAAAACCAAUGCUGUUACACUGUUUCCAAUUCUUCCUCCAAAGCAAAACUUGGGUGUUGGCAGCUCCUCCAGAAUUUCAAACCCUGCCAGACAGAAAUUAAAAUGCUUUUAUUAGAAGGAAGUAAUUUUAUUCUCCUCUUGGAUAGCCCGUUGCAAACCAUUCUCUAUUUGGCUGGAAAAAUUGCAAGUCAGUUACUCUGUAAGUUUAUAGGACUGUAUUGUUACACUGCAGCGCUGCUUUAUACAGCUGAAACCCUCCCAUGGAUAAUAAAAAUCUUAGCUGGCUGACUCACACAAAUUAAAGGCAGAAAAGAUGAUAACUUGCCAGUAACUUUAGCUCCCCAGAAGGGACGGUUGUUCUAGAUCCACACUGAGUUUCAAGCCUCAGGCAUGAGAUUCAGAACCCAACCUGCAUGUAAAAAACACCCUUUUGAGUGGACCAGAAAGGUCGCUGAGGAGGUGACAUAAAAGGUCAUGGUCACAGAUUGGCCAGUGUCCCCUAAACAUGGGUAACGGAGUCACCCUGAUUUCAAAGCAAUCAGAUACGUGAACUGGAUCUGGGAAAAAAGGACCAAAAGAGAAAAAUUAUCACCCAGGUAUACAUUUUCCCAGUGUAAUUAGACUAAAAUCCUUGUCCUCCAAAGUACUGAUAGGACAAAACCUGUCCUCCCCUGGCUCGUUGGCACUGGCAAACACAGAAAAGCUGUAAUUCCUGAGGAAAACGGAGGGAAGAUAAACUGAAGCAUUUACUAGUCACGUUACCUUGUCUAAUCCUGAUCUGAGAAAAUCAAGACUCAUUAAAAUUCAUUUGCCGCAUCCUUAAACAACCAUAAUUUGGCAGAUGCUUCUGUUCAACCGCUUACCUUCUCUGAACUCGUUCGACAGCUCCUCCUUGGUCCAGUUGCAAGAUGUUAUGAGGAAAAAGCCCCCUGGUUUCAAUACGCUGCAGAGAGAUCGCACGUACUGCUUCCUCUUCCCCGCCGCGUUAUCAGGAUUAAGGCUGAUGGCAUCAAAAGUCCCCUUGUCAAUACAAAUCUCAAAUCCUGACAGCUCAGCUGAAGGAGCCAGGAAGUCUUCUACCUAAACCAGAAGUCUACAACUGUGAAAACAAUCUGCUACUCCGAAGCUCCCGAAUCUUUAAUGCAAAUGAAUACUUUAAAAUAAAAAGCCUCAAACUUGACAAUAGUUGUGCUUAGGGAAGGGUAACUCACAGGCUUUUCACUUAUAAUGACAUGGCAGCUUCGUUCUUUUCUAUGUAUUAUGUGAAGAUCUAUUUUUUGUAAAGCCCAUGUAUAUACCUGUGUAUCUAAAGCUUAAACUAACACACUUGCAGACCAUUCUUUAAAUCAUUAUUUGUACUUUGAUCCCUGGCUUCCUAGGUGCUGUGUGCCGGGCACUGUACAAACACAGCAGAACAGACAGUGCCUGCCAGAGAGAGGUGACAAUUGACAUCCAAAACAGAGACAUCAGAUGGGUACAGAGCUGGAAGAUAAAACAGCAGCGCAGGGAGAGAGCUCAGAAUGAGAAUCACAGAAUGGCGGAGGUUGGAUCUCUGGGGGUCCUCUGGUUCUACCCCCUGCUCCAGCUGCUCAUGGGGAUUCGACCACUGAAGGAUCUCAUCCUCUUGCAUCAAAUCGGAAAUUCCGAAUGGUGCAGCUGAAAUGCAGGACUCGCCAAAUGGCAAACCGCCAUUCUGCUGCCUGCUAGAAGCAGGGAAAUCACAUUAGACCUAACGACUGUUACAAACAGGGAAAAAAAAAAGACCAAAAAUCGUCUUGGAAAUACAGAUUUAUUUGGUUGGAGGCCUCUCACGAAUGUCAAAAGACAUCAUCAUUAUACUGAGUACCUCUGAAUAUCAAUUAGGUCAUUUAAUCUUGGGUUCAAUUGCUUUCUACUUCCUCAGUAAACUUUCUCUCAAAACUUACCUUUAAUUUAAUGUUAGACAUCCCUUCUUUCUCUCUUAUUUUCUCUGAAAGUUCUAUUGCAGAAGGAGAGUAAUCAAUCCCUGUGAGAUUUGUGUAGCCAGACUUUGCCUAGGCCAAAGCAGAGAAUCUUAAUUAGUGCUAGCAAUUCUUUUAUCCAAUAAGUGUAUUCCUUAUCUAUAAUCCAUCUAAUCUAUGACAGAAAAAAACCCAACCUUUUUACUCAUUUUCAUUCCUGUUACUAUUACAAAAGCUAAACAGCUGGGGGAAUGAGCUGAAAUAAUUCAAUUCUGCCUAAUACCUCAUAAAAAAAUCGUUGACUGAAAGCUGGUUUAUGUCAACAAGUGGAAAACUAAGCAGAACUGUGAAAAGUAAUACCCCGGAGGGGAACAGGCCCUCUUAUCUACAGCAAAAGUAACCUAGAAACCAGGAAUUUAGAGUGAUGAGAACAUGUGCCAAUCCCAGAGGCUCCAAAAUAAGAAAACCUCUCUGACACUUACAUAACAUUUGAGAUUGAGCAAUUAUUUGGUUUAUAACUCAAAGUGUACAAGCAAAAAUAAGUAAUACAUUUUACUAGUACAGAAAUCCACUGUAAAGUCUUAUGUGUUUCUAAUUGUUCAUGCUAAUGUCUGUUUGAAUGCAAUUAUUUGCAUGCUACGAGGUCUUCGUAUCAGCAAUUUUCAGGCAGGUUAUGCACCACAUAAAAGAGCAGAUAACACCAACCCAGCUCAGCAGAUUCGGGCAGUCAGAUCCCAGCAGCCCUUCUGCAAAGCAGGCGGGCACAUCGCCACCAGCCAGAGUUGGCACAUGGGAGGGGGACAGUGACACGUUUUCACUGCGAGGUAGAAGCUGAAGUGACCAGAUUUGGGUAUCACGUGUGGCUAAAUCCAAACCUAAGAGGAAGAGCUAUGAUCUUAUGGGCAGCUGCAGGCAGUAAGAGCAGAGAGGGAAGACGCUUGGGUUUGUUUUGAACAAUACGUGGACUUUAAUGAGCAUUAAGCAAUUGGUCGCAGACCUACUUGUUCCAAAGGCCGACACCUCAACAGCAAGAAAAGCUGUGAGAUUGUUUUUUUAAAUGGUCCUUCCCCCUUCCAGCAGCCUUUCAGCCCGUGUGAGCUCAGCGCGAGGCAGCUGUUCUUAAUUGAGGACUAAUUUCAGCUAAACACAAAGACUGUGUUGUUUGCGUUUGAUGAAGAACAGCGUAUUGCUCAGGCUUCUGCCCACGUUCCUCCCCAGAGCAAACCAAGCUUCCUGAAAUGCCUGUGCUGAAGGCUUGGGGGUGGAAGAGGAGUUCCCACAACAGCUCCUCUGUUUGGAAAGGAAGAGCUUGAGUCACUUCAGGGAGUUCCCAUUCACUCCUAAAGAAAGUUGAAAGGAUAAACAACAUUAAAUGCUGCUAAACCUGUAGGGCCUGACUACGUAAGGACAAGCAAAGAUCAUUCACUCAAGUGGCAAACGUGACCGUGCUGCAUCCUGCAAUUGGACUCCUGUCCUGAAGGCGAUAUUUAUAAGCACUCUGCUGCUGCUUCUUGAAAAAGCGGAUUAAAUAGCAGAAGGUAUUGUGCAAUGUUAUCAGUGCUGCCCCAUAUUUGGCCCUCUGGUGCUGCUAGUAGACAUCAGCACUUGGGGGGGUGAGUAUUCUUUAUUUCAGAGAGGUUUUUCAAUAUUGGUGGCUCCCACAAUGCUAGGGAAAAAAUAAAAAAAAAGAUGGCCAGAGCUCUAUGGAGCAGCAACAAUUCCUUAGAAGAGCUGGAAUUUUUGGAAUUAUGUCAUCAAUGCAGCCUACCAGAUUCCUGAAGUUACCAGGGGUAGGACCCUGCUCUAGUGCAGAUAAAACCAUUAAGGGCUCCCAUUUGUGCAUCUGAGAUCCUCUCAAGAAGCAGCAAGAGAGGAAACCUCCAGCAGUGUUUCUCCUGGAGCUCACAGACGGGCAGAUCUCCGCACGGUGUGAGCAGAAGACAUUUAGCAGCGUGCGGGAAGUUCUGCCUCCUGGUGUGGCCAGUUUACACAGGAUACAGCAGUCUUGGUUUCACUUGAUUUGUUAACCUGUUUUUCCAAUGGCUAUUCUGCCUCCUAUUUGUGCGAUAUUCCCACUAGAACUGACAAAGUCUCUCACUUAGCUGCAUUUCAGAGUAAUUUUCUUACUAAACUUCCAUUUACUAUUCUUUGCUGCUACUGGCACACCAGGGCCCAGUAUUCCCCAAUAAACUGUAGCCUCUGACACCUCUUCCUGUUCCAAUGAUGGUCGGUUACGUCCCCCCAGCAGCCACAUUUUACAGAGGUGCUACUGAUGUCCUAAACGAAGUCUGACUUUUUCAGCGUUGCCAUUUCUGUCACGUUAUCAAGUCCAACUCCAGUGGCCUGACUAUUCUCUGGCAGCUGAUGCGCUUGCCUAAAGAAUCCUAACUUGAUUUUCAAAGCCUAGCAGAUAACACACAAAAAAUUCUUUUACAUCAACAUGAACUGUUUAGCAACAAUAAAGAAUUUAAUUUUUGAAGUUACUUUUCAAACGGGAACUGGACUGAAAAUGUCCUAUUAAAGCAACCACAGUACUUUGAGAUGCUUAAUGUAAGGGGGGAGGGUGUUCUUAUGGCAGUUUUAUCGUUUUAUAAAGCUAACAGCUGCCAUUUUCCCAUUACGGAAUGAAAAUCUAUUUCAGAUUUGUAAGUGGGACAACUAUAAAACUAAAGUCUUAUCAAAUUUUUCAGUUGGAUGAUUCGACAGUGAUAGAGCUAGUUAGCAUUGCAUUUAACAAUCAUUAUUAUCAGGCCAAUUUCCUCUUAAUGAAAUGAGCAUUUUCUACUUUUGAUAUCAUUUCUCCUUUGCUGCAGUGUAGCAGCUGGUUGCCGUAAAGGAUUUAAACUCUUCUAAAAUCAAAGUCCAUGUUAAAAAACAUCCUGUUAACAAACCCGACUUUGAUAUCUCGUAUCACUGCAUAAUAACAACAUUCUAACACUUCAGAACUUAUCUGGUGAGGGGUUUCCACCCUGACAGAGACAGACACUUCUUGAAGUGUUAACAAACUUUUAAAGUCAUUCACAUAAAAACCUUGGUUUUAACACUUAUUAUAUCAAUAAUGAGUGUUAUUAUCAGAACUGAAUGCAGAGAAAGCAUCUGGUUUUGCACAUGAGAGUAUUUUGUGUAUUAGCCAACCUCAUUUCCUUAUUGGGGGCUGUUUUACACAACAGUGGGAAGAAAUGCAUUCCUAAAUGCAUUUCUAAAUGCAGGAAAACAAAAAGGUAAAGUUAAAUUAAGGGAUAUUCAGGCUGAUUGAUUUAAAGAAAUACUGUAAAUUUUGAAAUGUGAAGUACUGACACUCCGGGCAGCACCAAGAAAUACGAAGUUUGACCAUGUCUAGCAAAAAACAAGUAGCUAUUUCCAUUUGGCAGAACAAGAUACAGGUUCUGUUCCGAGGUCUGCAGCCCCAGUAGCAUCACUGGUUCCAGCAGUAACCAGUAUUCCUCUGAUGGGAAAAAAACAUAAUAUAACUUUAAUUUAGGUCGCUUGCUUUUUGUCUUUCACAGAAGUUACAGCUUGCCCUCAUUACUAUUGUCACUUGUGAGAACUGUAUAUAAACUACUCUGUUUGGAGCACUGAUCCUGCAUCAAAAGCACAAACUUUGCAAUAUACCAACCAGUUCAACCAGUAAAACACCAUUUCCAGUUCCAAUGUCAAGCAAGGAGCUGUCAAGGGGCACCUUUUGUUUUUCCAGCCAUCUGAUUAUGCGAACCAUGCUUUCCUCUCCAAACCUAUGAAAAAUAAGGGCUCCUGUAAUUAAGAUAGCAAAUUUAUUCCAUCGCUCCCUCUCUCUACAGUUUCUGGAAAGCACCAGGAUAGCAAAUGCCAUAGCUCACACUCCAUGCUUGCUUUGUUUAAAUUAAAAUUAAUCAAAUGGCUUUAAAAUUCACCAAAACACCAACUCUGGGAGGUAAAGCCCUCCACAUAUUAAAAUACUCGGCAGCACCUUCAACUUACAUAGCUGAAGCUGAACUCAGGAUAAAAAGCACAUUUGUUAGUAACAUACACAACUACCAGCUCAUGUUCCGUGUAGUGACAGCUGUCCAAGUGGAACUAAAAAAAAUUGCAUUGCAAAAUUGGGCAAAACAGGAACUGAUGGCUUCAAGAUUAAAAUUUCCCAUCAUUUUGCCAACAUCGAGAAUAAGUCAGUAACCCACUGCAUUGCUAGCUGUGUUUUUCCAAUGUCUUUUUUUUUUAAAUAAAGAAAUAAUAGAAACA
Columba livia (rock pigeon) is the source of this 11818-nucleotide long non-coding RNA. RefSeq lists it as uncharacterized. The record is from RefSeq and is a predicted model, not a curated record. The transcript has 3 exons. Lineage: Eukaryota; Metazoa; Chordata; Aves; Columbiformes; Columbidae.